Molecule: unclassified non-coding RNA, 336 nt
Filed under: soil metagenome
Description: partial contains 5.8S ribosomal RNA, internal transcribed spacer 2, and large subunit ribosomal RNA
Rfam family: 5.8S ribosomal RNA (bases 1-120)
Source: RNAcentral
GAUGAAGAACGCAGCGAAAUGCGAUAAGUAGUGUGAAUUGCAGAAUUCAGUGAAUCAUCGAAUCUUUGAACGCACAUUGCGCCCCUUGGUAUUCCAUGGGGCAUGCCUGUUCGAGCGUCAUUUGUACCUUCAAGCUCUGCUUGGUGUUGGGUGUUUGUCUCGCCUCUGCGUGUAGACUCGCCUCAAAAUAAUUGGCAGCCGGCGUAUUGAUUUCGGAGCGCAGUACAUCUCGCGCUUUGCACUCAUAACGACGACGUCCAAAAGUACAUUUUUACACUCUUGACCUCGGAUCAGGUAGGGAUACCCGCUGAACUUAAGCAUAUCAAUAAGGGAGGA